GCCAGGCCCAUAGGUAAUUACAACCAGUAAGAGAGGGAGAUGCUGGUGGCCUCAGACAUUCUCUGAUCCUGGGUGGACUUAGGGGACGUCAGGGUAGAGGGAGCUUCUUAGAGACCAGAUAUGAAGGUGGUCUGUGUGUAUGCAUGCACGCAUGUGUGUGUAUAUAUCCCAGAGAAGUUUAAUUUGUUUAGAGAUACGCUGUGUGGUCAGAGUGGCAGCCAGACGGUGGGGGAUAGGCUUUUUAUUAUGUAAGACUCUGAGAAAACAAUUAAUCUGGACCUCAUUUGCACUUCCUUUGAAAUGUGUGACCCUCAGAAACAACACAGGCUCUUUUCCUGACCCCAGUGUUAUGCCAGCAUCCUCAAAGAUGUGCUCUCUGAUCUCAGCUCUGUGAGAUGAGAUCAGAUCAUGGACGACUACCCUCCCUGCCUAGGGCUCCUUUAUCCUGCUUUCUUCUCCAUAGAUGUUCCCUUUUGAUGCUACCAGGUGGACAUUCUACAUGUUACCAAGCUUUUACUGAUUAAAGCAUUGCUGCAAUGCAAAUCCUUGUACAGAGUCAUUGUAAGAUGUUUCUAGAAGCUGAACAGCUGUGUGAAAGAGUUUGUGCGUGUUAAAU
This 616-nucleotide long non-coding RNA is filed under the name Pan troglodytes (chimpanzee). RNAcentral's name for it is "long non-coding RNA NONPTRT014608". The record is from RNAcentral. Lineage: Eukaryota; Metazoa; Chordata; Mammalia; Primates; Hominidae.